AGUAAAUAGAUACCCGGUAGUCCACGCCGUAAACGAUGAGUACUAGGUGUAGGAGGUAUCGACUCCUUCUGUGCCGCAGUUAAACACAAUAAGUACUCCGCCUGGGAAAUACGGUCGCAAGAUUAAAACUCAAAGGAAUUGACGGGGGCCCGCACAAGCAGCGGAGCAUGUGGUUUAAAUUCGAAGCAACGCGAAGAACCUUACCUAGACUUGACAUCCCCUGAAUAACGUAGAGAUACGCGAAGCCCUUCGGGGCAGGGAGACAGGUGGUGCAUGGUUGUCGUCAGCUCGUGUCGUGAGAUGUUGGGUUAAGUCCCGCAACGAGCGCCACCCUUAUCAUUAGUUGCUACCAUUUAGUUGAGCACUCUAGUGAGACUGCCCGGGUUAACCGGGAGGAAGGCGGGGAUGACGUCAAAUCAUCAUGCCCCUUAUGUCUAGGGCUACACACGUGCUACAAUGGUGAGAACAACGAGAUGCAAUACCGCGAGUGGAGCAAAACUUCAAAACUCAUCUCAGUUCGGAUUGUAGGCUGAAACUCGCC
This 541-nucleotide ribosomal RNA is filed under the name uncultured bacterium. Its description in RNAcentral is "bacterial SSU rRNA". It matches the Rfam family "Bacterial small subunit ribosomal RNA", at positions 774 to 1316 of the family's 1533-position model. The record is from RNAcentral.